GGCUUGGUAGCUCAGGUGGUAAGAGUUCCGUGUUGAAGACACGAAGGUCAUGAGUUCAAUCCUCAUCCAAGCCA
RNAcentral lists this transfer RNA (74 nucleotides) under Daphnia galeata. It matches the Rfam family "tRNA". Rfam says of the family: Transfer RNA (tRNA) molecules are approximately 80 nucleotides in length. Their secondary structure includes four short double-helical elements and three loops (D, anti-codon, and T loops). Lineage: Eukaryota; Metazoa; Arthropoda; Branchiopoda; Diplostraca; Daphniidae. The record is from Rfam by way of RNAcentral.